Non-coding RNA from Vigna umbellata (rice bean), 787 nucleotides. Lineage: Eukaryota; Viridiplantae; Streptophyta; Magnoliopsida; Fabales; Fabaceae. The record is from RefSeq and is a predicted model, not a curated record.
UUCUCUUUCACUCUCAUUCGCACUUUGUUAUGGUUUGCCCUACCUCCAUUGGUUUGUUCUUCCCCACCCUUUCUUGGUGUGCUCUUCCUGGACUUCGACUGCCCUUCACUCAGCUUUCACUAUUUCUUGAACUCUUUCGUCGUUGACAUUGUCAUGGUGUUGAGGGAUUGUCAUCGAGGGUUGGCAUUGCGGUUCUCUUCGUUGACGGAGUUUGGUCGAGGUUUCUUGGUUUUGGGGUUUCGAUUAGGGGCACAUAACAUGUAGAAGGUUCCAACAUAGUGGGUUAAAUCUUGUGAAUGGUUACAAAAGUUCCAUUGUUGAAGGGCUGGAAUUGAAGUCAAUUGUCCAAAAUUUUAUCAUUGCAUUGAGGUGGGAGGUUCCUCUUCCUCAUGUAUUGAGAGCAAUUUAUAUGCACAGAGAGGGGACUGAUCCGCGAUUUAUUAAAUUGGAGCCGGUAUUUAAAUGCUCAAUGUUGAGGCGCCGAGAUUUACAAAGCAUUCCACUCACAGUGGAGUGGUCAGUUACAUCCCCGCAUGACUAUUUACUUGCUGGCUGCCAUGAUGGAACGAUACAAUGCCUCUGCUUUGUUUUGGUGGAGAUACAGUUCCAAUUUGAACGGUUGCCUGGGCUCCUUUUGAUUGGGAUCCAGAGAUUUCUAAUAUAGUAGUAACUGCUGGACAUGAAGGUCUGAAGUUUUGGGACCUGCGUAAUCCAUUUCGUCCUUUGAGGAGCCUCCAUCCUGCACCGAGAAUUAUAUAUAGUUUGGAUUGGCUGUCAAAGCCAAGUU